AUGCAAACUAAGAGCCAUUUCUUCACCGUAGGUUGUUAAGCCUCAAAUAAACGGUGCCUCAGCUCCGAUACCACUUGAAAGGUCCAAAUGGCUAGAGGGGGGUGAAUAGCCUAUUUAAAAAUUCUACAAACUUCACUAAGCAAGCGAGUUAGUAAAAUAAAUGGCGAAGCAAUUCUAGCACUAGCUCAACUAAGCUAUGCAAGCCACCUAUACAAACUAGUACAAGGCCGAACA
RNAcentral lists this long non-coding RNA (234 nucleotides) under Sorghum bicolor (sorghum). RNAcentral's name for it is "long non-coding RNA (SBIC_LNC006732)". Lineage: Eukaryota; Viridiplantae; Streptophyta; Magnoliopsida; Poales; Poaceae. The record is from RNAcentral.